UGGGGGAUACAGGAUUCUUUGCUGGGCAACGAUGCUUGUUGGUAUCCGAUACUUGGUGCGAAUUCCUUGAACGUUUUGUUCGUGGUAGCUUGUGCAAGUGAUUGUUCUGUCCAUACUAUCAUUUUUAUCCUAUAUUUUGAUAGAUUUUGUUGUAGCCACAUAUAUUGUCCACUCUAACCUAUUGGUCUUACGAUUUUAUCCUCCAAAAGAUGCCUUGCGUGAAAAUAAUGGUCUCUUCCUAUAUACGUCAAAAUUUUCUUUGACUCACAACCAAUGUGAGAUUAAUAAUGCCCUUCC
Molecule: long non-coding RNA, 297 nt
Filed under: Elaeis guineensis (African oil palm)
Lineage: Eukaryota; Viridiplantae; Streptophyta; Magnoliopsida; Arecales; Arecaceae
Description: long non-coding RNA (EGUI_LNC016365)
Source: RNAcentral